Molecule: ribosomal RNA, 460 nt
Filed under: uncultured bacterium
Lineage: Bacteria
Description: partial 16S ribosomal RNA
Rfam family: Bacterial small subunit ribosomal RNA
Source: RNAcentral
CCUACGGGAGGCAGCAGUGAGGAAUAUUGGUCAAUGGGCGCGAGCCUGAACCAGCCAAGUAGCGUGAAGGAUGAAUGCCCUACGGGUUGUACACUUCUUUUAUAAAGGAAUAAAGUGAGGCACGUGUGCCUUUUUGUAUGUACUUUAUGAAUAAGGAUCGGCUAACUCCGUGCCAGCAGCCGCGGUAAUACGGAGGAUCCGAGCGUUAGCCGGAUUUAUUGGGUUUAAAGGGAGCGUAGAUGGGUUGUAAAGUCAGGUGUGAAAGUUUGCGGCGCAACCGUAAAAUUGCAAUUGAUACUGGCAGUCUUGAGUACAGUUGAGGUAGGCGGAAUUCGUGGUGUAGCGGUGAAAUGCUUAGAUAUCACGAAGAACUCCGAUUGCGAAGGCAGCUUACUAAACUGCCACUGACAUUGAUGCUCGAAAGUGUGGGUAUCAAACAGGAUUAGAUACCCCAGUAGUC